ACCAAACUAUAAUUGAAGCACACAAACCUAGUAUUAGUCGAUAUUAGUAGCCUACCAUUAAACCAGAACACGUUUUCCUCCCAUCCCCGAAUGUUGUGUGGAGUAGCCAGACCCUCCUUCAGGGCGCUUUGGAGGAGGGAUAACCCUUGACCCAAAGACGACUCUGCGACAUGUCAGAGGCAGGACUGAAUGCCACACAGCAGUCUCCGUCCUUAGGCAAUGAUCAUCCGCGGCACUAUCCACUCGCCGUAGGCCGGAUACACAAACAAACACACGGUUCCUGUGUCCCGUUGCUAACUUACAGCUAGCUUAUGCUAACGUCUGUACAGUUGGUACUGUGGCUGUUUUGGGGGCGAACAAACAAACGAGCCUGCGGUCACAUUCACCGGAAUGAUGCUAGGCGAAAAGUAUGAAUCGCUGUGAGAAGGAAUAUGGCGUUUUAUAUCGGUUUUGUUUGUGUUUCUGCAAAUAGACGGUUGCAGGUAGCUGGUGUUGACACGGUCCGUGGGAGCUGGACGUCUGCAGAUGAGUGCAGAGUUUCCGGACCACAACGGAGAAGUUCCUUCACUCCAUUCAUGCCUUUUUCAUACCGUACUCACUGUAUACUCAUAGUAUUGUAUGCCAUGAAAAAAAUUAAUAAAAAAGUAAGUGAAAG
Molecule: long non-coding RNA, 655 nt
Filed under: Sander lucioperca (pikeperch)
Lineage: Eukaryota; Metazoa; Chordata; Actinopteri; Perciformes; Percidae
Description: lncRNA (ENSSLUG00000025855.1)
Source: RNAcentral